UCCCCAAAAGCUUAGUUGGUAAAGAAUCUGCCUGCAAUUCAGGAGACCCUGGUUCAAUUCCUGGGUAUGGAA
Molecule: transfer RNA, 72 nt
Filed under: Bos taurus (domestic cattle)
Lineage: Eukaryota; Metazoa; Chordata; Mammalia; Artiodactyla; Bovidae
Also listed under: 5 other names
Rfam family: tRNA
About the family: Transfer RNA (tRNA) molecules are approximately 80 nucleotides in length. Their secondary structure includes four short double-helical elements and three loops (D, anti-codon, and T loops). Further hydrogen bonds mediate the characteristic L-shaped molecular structure. tRNAs have two regions of fundamental functional importance: the anti-codon, which is responsible for specific mRNA codon recognition, and the 3' end, to which the tRNAs corresponding amino acid is attached (by aminoacyl-tRNA synthetases). tRNAs cope with the degeneracy of the genetic code in two manners: having more than one tRNA (with a specific anti-codon) for a particular amino acid; and 'wobble' base-pairing, i.e. permitting non-standard base-pairing at the 3rd anti-codon position.
Source: Rfam by way of RNAcentral